RNAcentral lists this ribosomal RNA (425 nucleotides) under uncultured bacterium. Its description in RNAcentral is "partial 16S ribosomal RNA". It matches the Rfam family "Bacterial small subunit ribosomal RNA", at positions 360 to 774 of the family's 1533-position model. The record is from RNAcentral.
AAUUUUGGACAAUGGGGGAAACCCUGAUCCAGCCAUCCCGCGUGUAUGAUGAAGGCCUUCGGGUUGUAAAGUACUUUUGGCAGAGAAGAAAAGGUACCUCCUAAUACGAGGUACUGCUGACGGUAUCUGCAGACUAAGCACCGGCUAACUACGUGCCAGCAGCCGCGGUAAUACGUAGGGUGCAAGCGUUAAUCGGAAUUACUGGGCGUAAAGCGUGUGUAGGCGGUUCGGAAAGAAAGAUGUGAAAUCCCAGGGCUCAACCUUGGAACUGCAUUUUUAACUGCCGAGCUAGAGUAUGUCAGAGGGGGGUAGUGGAAUUUCCUGUGUAGCGGUGAAAUGCGUAGAUAUGUGGAGGAAUACCGAUGGCGAAGGCAGCCCCCUGGGAUAAUACUGACGCUCAGACACGAAAGCGUGGGGAGCAAACA